Long non-coding RNA from Sinocyclocheilus grahami, 296 nucleotides. RefSeq lists it as uncharacterized. The transcript is spliced from 3 exons. Lineage: Eukaryota; Metazoa; Chordata; Actinopteri; Cypriniformes; Cyprinidae. The record is from RefSeq and is a predicted model, not a curated record.
CUUUCGCAACGUACGUCUCCAAUAAGUGCUGCUAUAGUUCUGCCCCCGUCAGAGAGGGAGUCAUAACCAAUAUGGAGUCCUUUAAUACCUACAGGUAUCGUUUGGAGACGUUCAUGGAGUCCAGAUCUACUGAAUGGAGUCAGGAGCCUUACACAGGUCAGCCUGUGGAUGCUGGUGUUCAACCUGCUCCAGGUCCGUGGCAGAUUGCAGCUCAACCUCCGGCCUUCUUUCAAGAGCACAAGCAGACCAUUAAAGUGCCCUAUACUUCCUCAGUCAAGGUUUGACUUUUAACCACA